CGCAAUCUUAUUUAAAUUUAAUUUUAGCAUGUUAUUAUUGAAAUUUUAAUCUAAAAUUUUAAAAAUUUAAAUUUCAAAUUUCAUAUUUCACAUUUCACAUUUCAAAUUUUAAAUUUCAAAUUAAAAUUUUAAUUUUAAUUUUGAAUUUUAAAUUUUGAGUUUCAAUUUUAAAUUAUACAUUUUAUAAUUUAUAAUUUAAAAUUUAUAAUUUUAUUCUAGA
RNAcentral lists this long non-coding RNA (220 nucleotides) under Ananas comosus (pineapple). RNAcentral's name for it is "long non-coding RNA (ACOM_LNC040037)". Lineage: Eukaryota; Viridiplantae; Streptophyta; Magnoliopsida; Poales; Bromeliaceae. The record is from RNAcentral.